GCCCAGGUAGCUCAGUUGGUAGAGCAGCGGACUGAAAAUCCGCGUGUCGCUGGUUCAAUUCCGGCCCUGGGCACCA
Molecule: transfer RNA, 76 nt
Filed under: Alphaproteobacteria bacterium
Lineage: Bacteria; Pseudomonadati; Pseudomonadota; Alphaproteobacteria
Also listed under: 5 other names
Description: tRNA-Phe
Rfam family: tRNA
About the family: Transfer RNA (tRNA) molecules are approximately 80 nucleotides in length. Their secondary structure includes four short double-helical elements and three loops (D, anti-codon, and T loops).
Source: RNAcentral